CAAAAUAUGAAAACAAGUGCUGAAAAGGAUAACAAAAGGUAAAACAUAAAGAGAGAAGUCCUACCAAGUUCUUAAGAAAUGAUGAUACCAGUUACCCAGGAAGGUGAGGGUAUAAAGCAGAUGUGUUGAAACAGCUGACCAUGUCUUCUUCCUUCCUGGCUUCAGUCAAGAGUUAAUUCUUCCAAGAAAUGAACCAGGGAGGUUCCAAACAUGGAAAUACCAGACAAGGAAAUUUCUCUAAGAUAUAUGGAGACAGGGUUUCUGCAUGUGGGCCAGGCUGGUCUUGAACUCCCGACCUCAGGUGAUCCGCCCGCCUCAGACUCCCAAAGUGUUGGGAUUACAGGUGUGAGCCACCAUGCCCAGCCGGCAUCAUCACUUAUAGGGAAAUGUCUGCUGAAGGCCAAGGCUCAAAGCUGCUGGAACACUGGGAAGCUGAACAAAAGAGAGCUGCUUCUCAUAAAACCCGGACUUCCAAGUUUCCAAUAGGGUCUAGAAUGAGCAAGUUAGCAAAUCAUCUUCUUUGGAAACAAUGAUAAAACUACACGAUGUUGUCAACAACAGCCAUAUUAGAAAUCUAGAAAUUGACCAAAGGUAAACAACAAACUGAGAAGCAUUUUGUUUUUUGUGAAAAGUGGCUGUAUUUCUGCAAAAAUAGUGGGAGUCUAUGGCAUCUCACCUAGGGCUGCUUUGCUCCCCACCUCAGCUCAGUUAGUAUAAAGGUUCUUGCAGCAUGAGGUAGACUGAACAGACCUGAAGUUUCACUGCAGGAAGAAACUCACUCCAGGUUUGGCAGAGGGUUAGAAACUUACUCCCAGCCAUGUUGUCGGGUGACCCAGUGAUCUUAGGGAUAAGCAAAUGGGGAAGGCCAGCAAUUCAUUAACCUGAGGUUGCUGUCCUGGUUGGGGAAAGCAGCAGAAUGGCAGAUAAGCUAGAAAUUUCGUAGAGAUAAGCUGGAAAUGACACAAUCCCAAAGGGGCUUAACCCCAAAGUUGUCCACACACCCUGGCUGCCUUCUGAGCAGAUGCAGGGAAAGACCAGAGAAGGCCUAGGCUAUCCACACAUCCCUGGCUAACCCAGGCUGUCAAGUGUGGAAGAGACACGAGAGGUGGACUGAUACUAAUGGUACGUGGGGGAUCUUACUGGGUUGUCAGGAGUGUUCUCAAAUUGGAUUGUGGUGAUGCUUGUUUAUCCCAAGUUGCUAAGUUUUACACUGAAAAGGGGUGAAUUUUAUGGUAUAUAAAUGAAACAUCAGUAAAGUUGUCAUAAAGCAUUCAAGUUCAAAUAAAUGGCUCUAGGAAAUAUUGUUUUCAAAAUUUUCCUUUGGUCUAUCACAGCACUCCAAAAU
RNAcentral lists this long non-coding RNA (1345 nucleotides) under Callithrix jacchus (white-tufted-ear marmoset). Its description in RNAcentral is "lncRNA (ENSCJAG00000084714.1)". Lineage: Eukaryota; Metazoa; Chordata; Mammalia; Primates; Cebidae. The record is from RNAcentral.